UGGGGAAUUUUGGACAAUGGGCGAAAGCCUGAUCCAGCAAUGCCGCGUGUGUGAAGAAGGCCUUCGGGUUGUAAAGCACUUUUGUCCGGAAAGAAAUCCUUGGCUCUAAUACAGUCGGGGGAUGACGGUACCGGAAGAAUAAGCACCGGCUAACUACGUGCCAGCAGCCGCGGUAAUACGUAGGGUGCAAGCGUUAAUCGGAAUUACUGGGCGUAAAGCGUGCGCAGGCGGUUUGCUAAGACCGAUGUGAAAUCCCCGGGCUCAACCUGGGAACUGCAUUGGUGACUGGCAGGCUAGAGUAUGGCAGAGGGGGGUCAGAAUUCCACGUGUAGCAGCGAAAUGCGUAGAGAUGUGGAGGAAUACCGAUGGCGAAGGCAGCCCCCUGGGCCAAUACUGACGCUCAUGCACGAAAGCGUGGGGAGCAAACAGGAUUAGUACCCUGGUAGUCCACGCCCUAAACGAUGUCAACUAGUUGUUGGGGAUUCAUUUCCUUAGUAACGUAGCUAACGCGUGAAGUUGACCGCCUGGGGAGUACGGUCGC
RNAcentral lists this ribosomal RNA (541 nucleotides) under uncultured bacterium. RNAcentral's name for it is "partial 16S ribosomal RNA". It matches the Rfam family "Bacterial small subunit ribosomal RNA", at positions 355 to 889 of the family's 1533-position model. The record is from RNAcentral.